AGAGUCUGUCAUCCCGUUGUCAUUAGUUUCUGUUACUACUUCACUCUCCCUCUGUCUUCAAGAAAUGGAUCGUAGAAGUGCAUUUGCCGUUGCUUUGAUUUGCUUUGUGGUGACCGCUGUCGGUGGUCAAUCUCCGGCAGCCUCACCUACUAAAGCUCCGCCGGCAGCGACUACUCCUGCCACUGCUCCCGCUACUGCCCCUGUUAGCAAACCUAAAUCACCGGCUCCAACUGCUGCCCCUACCACUUCCCCACCAACUUCUUCACCACCGGCUGCGGCUCCGGAGAAGUCUGCGGCGGUUCCAGCCCCAUCUAAAUCUGCUCCGGCUUCUUCUCCUCCGGCUGCUGCUCCGGUGAGUUCUCCACCGGCUCCAGUACCUGUGAGCUCUCCUCCAGCCAAAUCGCCUCCCGUUGCUGCACCGACGACUCCACCAGAGAGCUCGGCCUCUCCUCCGGCUCUUGUUGCGGCACCAACUACUGCUGAGGUUCCGGCCCCAGCUCCAAGCAAGAGCAAGAGCAAAAGCAAGAAAUCCAAGAAACACCAUGCUCCGGCUCCUUCACCUGAUAUGCUUGGACCUCCCGCUCCACCAACUGGAGCUCCUGGACCUAGCCUCGAUGCUUCCUCUCCCGGUCCAUCUGUCGCUGCCGAUGAGGUACAUUCUCUUCUCUUUACUAACGCUUCAGUAGCUUACAUCAUAUAACAAUGCGCUUUCAGAUCUGAACUUUUACACUGCAUAAAUGUAGAGAGAUCUUGUUUUUCUUUUAAUCGCGUCUAAAGGAUGCACCGUUGAGCUAGUUCAUUUACUUUUCUGAAAAAGGACCGACCAAUGGAUCUUUUUUUCAUCUUAAAACUAUAUUUAUUUGUAACAUUUAAAGAGUUAUUAUUAACAAAUGCAGAGUGGAGCAGCGGCAAUGAAGAACAUGAAGAAGAUAAUUGGAGGGUUGGCGUUGGGAUGGGCAGCCAUUGCUUUGAGCUUCUAGAUUGGUUUUGAUCACAUUCCACAUUCUGCGUUCUAAUUCUUUGGUUGGUGUACUGAGAGGCGGAAACUCUAGUUUUUUUUUCCUAUGUAAUUUCCACCAUUCUUUUUUUUUCCCCUUCAUUUACCCAUUUUCUGUCUUUUAUUUCUCUAUUAUAUUUUAAUAAAAUCACAAUUUAUUUUACUAAUACCAAUGCUAAUGAAUCUCAAGAUCAUUUGUGCAGGUUAAACAUUGUAAAAGUAACAAAACUGAAACGAUCAUAUAGCUCAUGAACCAUUACAGGGAAAUUGGUUAGACAAUGUUCCAAUGAAAGUACAGGAAAGCUUAAAAUGGCAGCAAAUGCAUAUCUUACAAAUCAAUCUGAAUAUUUAGUUUAAUCUGAAAGAACAGUUUUGAGUAAAAAGUAAUUAGGCAUGGGGGCAUAAACCAGGAGAGACGUUAUUCAUUGGUUCCUAUCGUCUUCUCCCCCGGCUGCAAACACCAGACAGACUUACAUGUAUGAAACUUCUUACAUUCACAAUUGCCACGUAUCAGAAGAAGCACUUCACAAGAGGACUCUACAAAUUAAAAAUUCUCUUUUUCUCUACAACAAAACCCUGUAAAAUGUAAGCCCAAGCAGCAAACCUUCAAAAUGCAUUAUUUGAAGCAUCAAAUGUAUACAAACUGUAUUAGACCCAAUGCCUACUUUCAAGCGUGAUUCGUCCUUAAUUCUAAAGCUUUUAAUUUUAUUGGUUAAUAUUGGUGUUUUUGUCGUUUUCCCAUCAACCCAAAGCCAAAAGCAUGCAAAUUCCCUUCACUUGGAAUAUGGAGAUGGUAAAGUAGAAAAGUAUUCAUAAUACGCUAUGAUAUAUAUAUGCGUGUGUGCGUGUAAAUGGCCACUAUGAAGCGUGUGUGCGUGUAAAUGGCCACUAUGAAGCUUUCUUAUUUGCUCGAAAAAGAAGGCAAAUAUUAAUUAAUAAUAUAUAAUAUUUGGCAUUCAUUAAUAAGACUCAGUGAAAUAAAUAAUUAAGAUAAUAUAAUUAAUUUAAUAUAUACCAGGUUGAUUUAUCCAUUUAUGCUGAAAAAAAAAUCUACAUUUAAUUAUCUAUGUUUUUUUUUUAAUUUAUCAAUGUUGUUUUGAAGAGAGAAAGGAAAGCACGUCUUACAUGGUGCAUUUUCACUGUCUAUGUCAUUGAAAAUGCGUCUUAUAGGGCGUAUUUUUAGCUACGUCAGCUGAACAUGUGUCAUGUUUUCACAAAUUGACAAUUUAGCUCUUUUGAUCAGAUGGUUAAGCGUUAGUGUUUUUAGUCUUUAAGUCUUAGGUUCAAUUCCUCUCCUAUUCAUUUUUAUAAUUUUUAUUUCAUGUUAUUUUAAGUUUUUUUUAAUUAAUAUUUUUGACACAUUAGCUCUUUUGGUUAGAUGAUUAGAUAAUUGUGAUUUCUUCUUUCAGUCCUAAGUUUGAUUCCUUUUAUAAGAAUUUUAAUAUGUAUUUUUUAUUUCAAUUUUUUUAUUAUUUUUAAUUAAUAUUUUUAAUUAAUAAAUAUAUUGUUUUCAAGUUUUUUUAUUUUUUAUUUAUCUUUUUAAUUAAUAACUCUUUUAUUUAUAAAAUCAAAUAAUUAUUGAAAAUAUCAUUAUUUUUAGUAAAUAUAAUUUUUAUUUGUGUAAUUUUUAUCUUUCAAUCCAUAUCAUGAAUGUAGUAAAUUGACAUAUUAUAUAUUUUUGUAUAAUGUAUGAUGAUGAUGAAUAGAUAUAAAUUUAUUAUAUAUGACAAUCCAAUAAUAUAUUCUACGAUUCAUACAAUAUAUGAUGAUGAUGUAUAGAUAAUGAUUGUGGAAGGGUCGAGCUUUAUAGCAUUGAAGAAGAAUAUAGAUCGGCGAUAUUUUAAAACCGAAAAAUCUAUAUUGUGAUGCUGUGCAAAAUAAUAGGAGUGAGCAAAAUUCAUUUGAUCCAAAAAAAUUAAAUUUUGAGUUAAUUGAAUCGAGUUAUUUGAAUUAUUCAAGUCAACUCGAGUAAGUAAUUCGAGUUUCGAGUUCGAAUCGAGUUGAAUUUUACAAUUAAAAUAACUCGAAUAAUUCGAAUAACAUAUUGGUAUAAAUACCUUUUUGGUCUCUGCCAAGUUUGAAAAUGAACAAAUUGACCUCUCUCUCAAUAAAAAUUACAAAAUAAUUUUAAAAUUUCAAAAUAUUUAUAAAAAUUCCAAAUUUAUACUUUUUAAAAAUUAUAAAAAUUUCAAAAAAAAAUCUGAAAAAAUAUAAAGAAAGUUAAAAUAUUAAAAUUUUUCUAGAAUAAUAAUUUUGGGACCUAAAUAAGUUAAUUAAUGAUUCAAGUUUAUCAUACUAAAGUAAUUUUUUUAUUCUGCUUUGAAAAAGUUUUCAAAUAUAUAUGGUUUCAAAUGUAAGUGUUAUAACAUGGAAUUAGUUAUAGUAUAACAAGAUUUUAAUUUAACAUGUUUAAUUUUUUAAUUUAACUCGAACAAUUUCAUUCGAAUUGACUCGAAUUUUAUUUUACUCAAUUCAAUUUGAAAAAAAUUUAAAUCGAGUUAGAAUGAUAAAAUAAAACUCGUUAACUCAAUUAACUCAAAAAUUUUUAAUAGAGACAGUGGAAUACUCACUUUUACAUAAUAAUGUACCGAGAGAGGCCAAAGGGUGGAGGUGAAAUAAUUACACAACUCAACUAUUUUGCAAAACUUUUUUUAAAACUCUAAUAUAUAGAUGAUAAAAAAAAGCCUUAGCCACUUGACAAUUUUUAACGAAAAGAGAGAAGGUUAGGGUGUUUAAGUAUAAUACACGUCACGUUACUCCAGACAAGUUUUGCUUGCAGAGACACAGUUUCUUGCCGGUGAGUCGGUGACCCAUCUCAAAAUAUCACCCGUAACUGCUUUACCCGGUCACGCGGCCGCCUCCUAUUGGUUUGUCUCUUUGCGCAGCCAUAGCCCACUCUCCCUACGUCCAGCUGUCUCACUACUUCAUAACAAUUGUAUCAUUCAAUUAGUUAUUGUAGGUUUAAUUUUUUCCAACCCCUUUACUCUUUCAGCUUUUAAAUUUUAAUCUAUCACCUUUUAAUUCCCUAUCUCUCCUGCUUGAUUUAAAAAUUAAAAUUUAAUUAAUAACAUUUCCAUUCAAUUUAAAUAUAUAUUAUUAUUAUUUUUAGAUCAAAGCUUCGAAUAUUAAAAUUUAACCAAGUUUUCAUGAAUUGGACUUUUAAAUAAAAAUGAAGAGAAACUAAAUUUUUAAAAUCAAAAGUAGGAAGGCUAAAUUUUAAAACCCCAAAGAGUAUAGGGGUUGGGGAUAGAAUUAAACAUUUAUUAUAAUAUUAAUUAGUAGGGUAAACUACACCUAAGGUCACUAAAUUAUUAGUAAAUUCAUAUUUUGGUCACUUAACUUUAAAAAAUUACAACAUGGUCACUGAAUUAUUCAAAAGUAUUUAUUUAAGUCAUUGAGUUGUUAAGUAUUUUUUUAUGACGAUUGAUACAAUGGAUUAGUACCUAUGAAGAGUAGAACAUACCUUGUAAGAGAUCGAAAAAGAAAACUGUUUGAAUUUUGAUUCGUAAAUUCAUAACAUUUAAAGUUGCUCCACGAAAAUAAUUAAAUUGUUGAAGAGAAGAAGAAUGAGAUUUUAUGAUUGGUGCAGACCGUGUGUAUAAAGAAAGUUAUCCAACAGCGAUUUAAUAGCCCAAUGAAUUAAAUAAAAUCCUUCGAAUGAUUUAGUGACUAUUUUCUAACUUUUUGAAGUUGAACGACUUAAAUGUAAAUUUAUUAAUACUUCAGUGACCUUGGGUGUAGUUUACCCUACUCAGGUAAUGUAACAACAAAUUACAUGGUUCAUGUAUGUGGGCCCCCAAUCCAGACUGUCGAGUCUUGAUCGCCACAUUACAAUUUGAUGACGGUGGGCCCCGAAAUAGCUUCUCAUCCAACGGCUAUUUCUGAUCCAAACACGUUCCUAACUUUUUCUUCUUUUCUUUUUAUAAUCAUCAUUUUUUCUGAUUCUCUCCCUCAUUUAUUUAUAUAUUUAUUGAGAGUCUGUCGUCUCGUUGUCAUUAGUUUCUGUUACUACUUCACUCUCCCUCUGUCUUCAAGAAAUGGAUCGUAGAAGUGCAUUUGCAGUUGCUUUGAUUUGCUUUGUGGUAACCGCUGUCGGUGGUCAAUCUCCGGCAGCCUCACCUACUAAAGCUCCGCCGGCCGCGGCUACUCCUGCUACUGCUCCCGCUACUGCCCCUGUUAGCAAAUCUAAAUCACCGGCUCCAACUGCUGCCCCUACCACUUCCCCACCAACUUCUUCACCACCGGCUGCGGCUCCGGAGAAGUCUGCGGCGGUUCCAGCCCCAUCUAAAUCUGCUCCGGCUUCUUCUCCUCCGGCUGCUGCUCCGGUGAGUUCUCCACCUGCUCCAGUACCUGUGAGCUCUCCUCCAGCCAAAUCGCCUCCCGUUGCUGCACCGACGACUCCACCAGAGAGCUCGGCCUCUCCUCCGGCUCCUGUUGCUGCACCAACUACUGCUGAGGUUCCGGCCCCAGCUCCAAGCAAGAGCAAGAGCAAAAGCAAGAAAUCCAAGAAACACCAUGCUCCGACUCCUUCACCUGAUAUGCUUGGACCUCCCGCUCCACCAACUGGAGCUCCUGGACCUAGCCUCGAUGCUUCCUCUCCCGGUCCAUCUGUCGCUGCCGAUGAGGUACAUUCUUUUUCUUUACUAACGCUUCAGUAGCUUACAUCAUAUAACAAUGCGCUUUCAGAUCCGAACUUUUACACUGCAUAAAUGUAGAGAGAUCUUGUUUUUCUUUUAAUCGCGUCUAAAGGAUGCACCGUUGAGCUAGUUCAUUUACUUUUCUGAAAAAGGACCGACCAACGGAUCUUUUUUUCAUGUAACAUUUAAAGAGUUAUUGUAAACAAAUGCAGAGUGGAGCAGAGGCAAUGAAGAACAUGAAGAAGAUAAUUGGAGGGUUGGCGUUGGGAUGGGCAGCCAUUGCUUUGAGCUUCUAGAUUUGUUUUGAUCACAUUCCACAUUCUGCGUUGUAAUUCUUUGGUUGGUGUACUGAGAGGCGGAAACUCUAGUUUUUUGUCCUUUGUAAUUUCCACUAUUCUUGUUUUUAUCCCUUCAUUUACCCAUUUUCUGUCUUUUAUUUUUCGAUUAUAUAAUAAAAUCACAAUUUAUUUUACUAAUACCAAUGCUAAUGAAUCUCAAGAUCGUUUGUGCGGGUUAAACAUUGUAAAAGUAACAAAACUGAAACGAUCAUAUAUAGCUCAUGAUUACAGGGAAAAAAGGAGCUGUUUGGUUAGACAAUGUUCCAAUAAAAGUACAGAAAAGCUUAAAAUGGCAGCAAAUGCAUAUCUUACAAAUCAAUCUGAAUAUUUAGUUUAAUCUGAAAGAACAGUUUUGAGUAAAAAAUAAUUAGGCAUGAGGGCAUAAACCAGGACAGACGUUAUUCAUUGGUUUCUAUCGUCUUCUCCCCCGGCUGCAAACACCAGACAGACUCACAUGUAUGAAACUUCUUACAUUCACAAUUGCCACGUAUCAGAAGAAGCACUUCACAAGAGGACUCUACAAAUUAAAAAUUCUCUUUUUCUCUACAACAAAAACCCUGUAAAAUGUAAGCCCAAGCAACAAACCCUCAAAAUGCAUUAUUUGAAGCAUCAAACGUAUACAAACUGUAUUAGACCCAAUGCCUACUUUCAGCCUCUUCCAGCACUACCAUGUCGUUGGUUCCUGAAGUAGCUCAGAAGUGCCUGUGCCUGUGAUCAACUCAUGCUUAAAUAAUGGUAAAGAAGAAAGGUUUAGUGAGAAAUAAAAGAAAAAAGAACAGCAGAACUAUUACCUUCUCUUUAGCUCUUGGGGUGCCAGUCUGGGACAAUGCCACUAGUGGUGGAACAGCUCCUUCUUGGAGAACCAUAUUGCAAAACCUACCACUGGUUGUGCAGAGUUGUAAAAGGGCAGCGGCAGCAUUUUCCUUUCCUCUCGCUGAGCCCAACUCAACAACCUCGACCAGCACAGGAAUCCCACCCUCCUGCCCAAUAGCAUUCCUCCCUUCAGGAAUUGUAGCAAGAUUAGCCAAAACAGCAACUGCCUUAUCAACCAUUCCAGCUGCUGGGUCCAUCAAGUCCACAAGGUGUCUUACAGCACCGGCUUGCACAAUUCGAGCCUUGUUUUCGUGAAAUAUUGACAGAUUAAACAAAGCGGUAGCUGCAUCUUUCUUUCCCCUAGGGGUACCAUUCCCCAAUAAAUCAACAAGAGGCUUGAUUGCCCCAGACCUUCCAAUCUUGACUUUGUUAUCCUCAAUGACUGAAAGGCUGAAGAGAGUGGCAGCUGAGUUUUCUUUAGCUUCAGGGCUUCCUGUCUCAAGGACAUGAAUCAGAGGCUCAAUUGCAUCGGCAUCAGCAAUUGCUGUUUUGUUGUUAUCAUUAAUUGACAAGUUAAGAAGUGCUGUAACAGCAUUUUCCUGAGUCUUCGUAUCCGGUGAAUGAAGCAAAUCAACUACCAAGACAAUGGCCCCACAGUUCGCUAUUAUAAUCCGAUUAUCCAUAUUGUGCUUAGCAAGUAACCUGAGUUGAGCUGUGGCCUCUCUUUGAGUAUCAACUGAAGUGCACUUCAAGUCCUCCACUAACUUCUUAACCUGGGCUUCAAUGCCAGAAAGGUCAGCCCUGUUCUCAACACCAGGAGAAGAAACUAUUCUUGGAAUGAACCUUUCCGAUGGCCGGCGCCAGAUUGUUUGGCUUCGCGAUCGUGUAUCCAUCAACCGAGGAGGAAACUGAGGUUCUCUUUGUGGAAUGGCUGAGCUAACUCUAGGCUGUGCAUCAGAUUUCACCUCUCCAGAAGCAUCACUAUUGUAGGCUGCGAGAUGAGUUGAACCCUCAGAAGUCUCAUUGGCAUCUCCAACAGCUCCUCGAGGAGAAUCUGGAUUAGGAAGUGCACUAGAGGCUGAGACAGAUCUUGUGUGGUUCUGAGAUGACUGACCAAUAUUGUUAGAAGGUGACACAGGGGGUUCACCAACAGAAUCGCUAUACCUUUGUUCCAACUUUGACCUGUCUUCCACACUGUUUAGUGAUAUUCUUGCAACAUCCAAACCCGCUCCAUUUCCAGCUAUAGCUGGCAAGGAACUUUCUGAGGUAGAAAGAGGAUGUAGUGGGGAGGUUCCCUUGUGAUGAAGUCCGCCGGAUGUGACUAGGUUCUUACCAGCUUGACCUCUAGACCGUGACUCAGGUGACAAUGGUUGGCUGCUUCUAGGGGGAGGAAAACUAUUUGAAUCCCUUGGCAAGCCAGACUCUGCGUGCACAAGAAGGGGGUAGGAUUGGUCUAAACUGAUGGACUUUGUGGGAUUAGGCAACUUCACAUUGUUUGACUCGCACCAAUUUGCAAUUAGUGCCUUUACUGUGUAAUUAGGUAUAAGAGUGGUAUGAGCCAAAGUUUGCCGUGUCUUGGGGCACACAGUGAGCCCAAGACUAAUCCAGUUCUUGAUGAAAGCCCGCUCAUAGGUUUGGCCAGAUGCCACAAUCACUGGAUCAGUCAUUAGCUCUAGGGAAAGGGGGCAGCAGAAAUCAGCAGGUAUUGGAACUGGGCUACAGGUCUCAGAUUGUUUCAUUGAUACAAGACGAUCAUGCAUGCGAUUUACAAGAGCAAUAAUUUGAUCAAUAAACUCAGCUUCUGCAGUUUUUUCAGCUUGUUCAGCAUUCUCCUUCAACUUUUCAAGGGCCACAGCCUCUAUCAGAAUCUCCUGGUUUGACCUCAAACUCAAGUUCUCUGCAAUUUUCACUAUUAUGUCCGAGGAUGGUCCAACACUAUCCACUUGAUCCCGUAUGGCUUCCCUGAUGACAGAUGAUGCUUGCUCAUAUGCUACAUGCUUAAUUUUCUGCAAGCAGUGCUGCAAUCAAUUGCUAAUAGUUAAACAUCCUGAAAUGUGGAAUCCCCCUUAGCAUUCUUUGAACUCAGAAAUUAAAUCAAAAUGAAAGCUGCAUAUUUUUUCACAUCUCACAACUGUAUACUUAGAUGCCAUUCACGCUCCAAUACAUGACAGUUUUUUGGUAAUCAUUGUGAGAAUACAAUAAUUAUGCUGUAUUUAUAAAACUUAAAUGCAAGAUGAAGAGUACAAUCUUCAAAUAAAAGUAAAAGCUUGAAUUAACUUGGGUUUUAAAUUACCUCAAGAGAUGCUGAACUCAAUUCAUCAGGCAGAUGCUGAUGGGAAGACUUCAAGAACUGGAAUACAUCAAGGCUAAAAUUCCAAAUCUUCGAUAUUAAGGACUCAACUUGCAGAACCUAAAGGUCAAGUGAAAGAGAAGAUAGUUAUCCAAGUGCAUUUAACUAAAGGACAACACUAAUUGACUGACAGUACCUUAAAAGAAAAUUAUAUUCUUUUAUAACAUUAUUUCCUAAAAGGGCACCCAUAUAUAGCAAUUUUCCACCUAAAUAUGAGCGAACAUUCAAGAAUCAGCACUUAGGGGCUAAACUUAUUCCAAAAGCUAUACAUUCCAACAAUCUCUUAGGACAAACAUGAUGAUGUUCUAAUAACCAUAAGAAAUUAGAAGAAAAUGUGAUCAUAGACCAUAGUGCAGAAAACAUCCACAAGAAUUAACUGUAAAAUGACAGCAAUAAUCUACAACAUGCAUCUCAUAUGAAAAUAUUAAUGUUCAGAUGGGUAAUUGAUUAAAUCUUCACGAUAUAAGGUGAAUGUCAAUGCCUAAAUGUUUACCUUAGGUACUUCUUUUCCAGUCAUAAGUGGACUAGAAUUGCUAAGUGAAGAUGUGAACUCAAGUAACUAGUAACUUACAAAGUAAACUUUACUCAAAAGGGGUUGCCAGCUCUCGAAUUGCUCUCUCAAUUCUUCUAUAGAGAGACUCAAUCCUUCAAAUGCCUUACCAAGCACUUUAUCAGAAGUAAUUUCUGAAUCAAUAACUGCGCUAAGAAUUGGCUUCAACAACUUUAGUAUCUCUUCUGCUCUCUGGUAAAACUUCUGAACUGGUUCUGAGUUAAUGUUCUCAAAAGAUGACAAAUUUAAAAAUGAGGAAAUGUUACCGAGAAGUGCUUUUAACAAAGAAAUCUCCAUAUGAUCUGGGUAACAAAAAAAGUCAGAGAGAUCGCACGUAAGAAAGAGCAGAAGGAGAAAAACUAUAAGAAUAUAAUAAGCAAACAAAAGAUGCAAGUAUCUUUGUCGUGAAACAACAGGGAGAAAACUUUGGGCCUAAUUACUUUAGUUUAACAACAUAAUUCCUUUCUCAGCAUUCAAUUUAACCUAAAGCAAAAUAUCAAUGAACUAGAGCUUAUUCUGCCAACAUAACAGUUAUUUCAUAACCGAACUAAUACAGGAAAAAAUGCAUGAACUCAUUUGCAGAAGUUUGGAGGGUGAAAAAAGUGAAGCCAGAAAGUCACUUACAACAAGGUACAUACCGUGUUUCAUAAAUUCUAACAGCAAAAUCCUUUCUCAAUAAUGGAUGACGAAUCCUUUGGAAACCAUAUUAUUCCAAAAAACUCAAGAAAACCCUUUUGAACAUCAGCACCAUAGCUCAUGUAGCACACUAUCUUGAUAACAAGAACCAGACAGGUUCUAGAAAUCCACUUUUGCCAACCAGUAAUCCCACUGUAGAAUCAAAAUUUUAGAUCAAGCUUGAUUGAAACUUAAAAUAUUAAGAGCACGAACAAAAAAAAAAAUUUAAACCAUCAAAUAUAAUAUUUACCACCAAAACACUCACAGCAAUUACAGCAAAGUUUCCUUAAAAAGUUCAUUAUGCUGAUAAUUUUCCUAGCAUCCAUGAAAUGUAACAAACGCAAACCUAAAAGAAAUAACCAAGAGCAGCGACCUCUCCACAUUAAACAUAACACGAUCCCCAUUCACCCACUACCAAAGAGAGUUACUUGACUAAAAACAAGCCAAACCCUUCUCAGAUUAGAUAAAAUGAAUUUGCCUUUACUCCAAUACUUCGUAAGCUUCUGUACUACCUGCAGUCCCUCUUCACUACUGCCCUAAUUUCUAGGAAAUCAACAAUUAGUUAUUUGGAUAUAUUUCUCCUAUUGCACAUCAGACACACCUUUUAGAAAAGAAAAAAGACACUAUUAGAACAAAAUAACCGGAUAAGACUACUGGGAUAAAGAGCCAUCCUAUACAAAUCAAUCAGUUGAUGCUUCAAAUCAAGGACAUAAAGGCCUCAACAAGAAUUACAAAAACAAACAUAAAAUGUCGUGGGAACCAUGGUCAAGUUCCACAUGCUACUAGAUGAAAACAAGCGCGCUGUAAUGAAGCUACAAAUUUACCCAAACCAUUACUUCCAAAACCUAUCAGAAAUGGUUUCUAAUAUCAUUUAUAUUUCUUAGUUUAUAAUUUACUUGCUUUCCAAGUUCCCAAUAACAGAAUAGUAAAGUCACCACUUAAUCAAAUCGUUUUAGAACUUAAUGAUUUUGGCACUCCUGCAUAUUAGUGUCAUACUCGUUAAAAAAAUUAAUUUGUUCAUUGAACAAAUAUAAGCUGUUUUUCGCACUUUCCCAGCAGCAAGGCAGAAAAAUAAAUGAAUAAAACUUAACCCUAAAACCCCAUCAGUGGUCCUUCAAAUAUAAUUUAUCCAAAACACCCACUUAGCCUUUCAAAAUCAUACUAUGAAACAAUAUGAUCAUAAAGGAAGUAAUUAGAUCAAAUGAGUUUACUUAUUAUUUCAAAAAAAAUACCCAACUCCAAAUAAGUAAACAACAACACAAAUGCAUAUAUAAAAACCAAAAAGAUAAUUGAACUCAACAAGAUAAAGAGAGAUUUCCAAAGCCAAAGAAAAAAUUUAGUACCUUAAUGCAGCUUUGAAUUUUGGGUUUUUUUUCCUUCUUGUUUAUUGAUAUCGCUAAUCUUUCCAAAAAGAAAAAAUAAAUAAGUCCCAGAUUUCGCUAUCCUGUUGCUGGGUCUUCAGGCCAUUCUUUUUCCUUUUUCAAGCUUUUUUUUUUUAAUUUUUGGGGAUUAGUUUCUUUUUUUAAUUUAUUUAAUCGUUUUGCUGGCGUUGCUUAGUUGGAGAUUGGCAGAUUCUCGUCGUUUUGGAAUUUCUUUAUGGGUAUUUUGACUGGAAUUUUAGAAUUUAUUUUCUUUUAUACUUUUAUGAUUGGCCAAAAGUAGUAAUCCUACUUCAUGUAAUAAAUAACUAAAUAUGCUUACAAAUAAAAGAAUUUUCAUUAAAAAUACCCUUAUAUAUAAAUUUUAUGCAUUUAAUUUGCCACUAAUUUUAAUCUAAUUGCUACAGUUAUCAAUCUUAUCAUCCCCGCUGAUUUUAGCUUUAUUGGAACCAAGCUGAUAUCCAUCUAAAUGGAUCCUCUUAAAAUAUAGGCAUAAUGACUUGAAUCUCUAAUUUUACAAAAAAGAAAAUUAUUUUUACUAUUUAUUUAAUUUUUCGUCUUUUUUAUCAAAUCUCUUCAAAAUAGAUAGAAAAGUUAAUUUUUUUUUUAAAAUUUUGUUUAUGAUACAUACAUAUAGAUUGCCACAUGAAUGACACGUCAACAAUGUUAACUUUUUAUUUAUUUUGAGUAAUUUGACAAUAAAUACAAAUUCAAGAGUUAAAAUGGCGAAAAUUUAUAUGGGAUUAAAAUAAAUUUUUUUAAAUUAGAGGAUCAAUAUGUUAACUUAUUUAAUAAUUUAAAUAUUAAUAAAUUAAUAAAUAUUUUAAAUUUUAAUUAAAUCAUUUUUACCGUAUUCAAUAUACAAUAUGUAAUCAAUACAAAACAUCAUUAUACAAAAUAAUAAUUAAUUGAAAUAAUUAACAUAGAAAUUAUUUUAAAAAUUCAAAUAAAAUGCUAAUAAAAAAAUUUAAUCAUUAUUAAACCAUUUGUAACUAUGAAAAAAUUCAAAAUUUUAACAUUUUAUUUUCUGAGUAAUAUAUAUUUUAUUUAGAGUAGAUUAUUCAAGUACAAGCAAUACGAAAUAUUGGUGUUUCAAUCUUUUGAAAGCAGUCGCAAUAUUAAUAGAUAUUUUAGAAUCAAAGAAUAUGAAGAAAAAAAAAGCAAUUUGUUAAAAGCAAUCCUAAUAUUAGUAGAAAUUUCUAAAAUCAGAUUUACAAUAAAUAAAUAAAAAAAAACAAACAAAUGCAACAGUAAAUUGAAAUACAUGUUUUGUUGAAAAGCUGGUUCAUGUAUAUCCGGCUUGGACAAAGUUUGAGGUAGAUUUUCAAAAUUACAGUGUUUGGUUCCUUGAAAUGGUUGAAAAGAAUGUUUUUGUUAAGAGUCUCACUCACUCCAAUCCUCUAUAUCCAGCAAGAUAUGAUAAAUCUAUUGUUUACAACACUGUUGUUUCAAACAGUAAUCCCUCUAGGAGGCUUUCAUCAAUAUUGGCAUUUGGUAGUAGGUGUAAGGUGUUUCGAGCUUUCUGAUACCAUGCCUUGCCAAGGGUGUCUAAGAUCGACUUCUUUGAUUCGAUAUGCCGCUUUAGGGAGUAUCAAACAACGAAAAGCCUCGAGAAACAAGGUAAAUUAUAAAUGCAAGAUUUGCGCCUGUAAAGGCAGACACUAUGCUUGUGAACAUUUGGCCACUCACUUCGGAGGAGAAGAAAUUGAGUAAAAGAUACCCGUUGAUCACGAUCACCAGCGCUGCCACAAUCCAUGCCACUGUCUGCAGAAGAGAGGGGAAAACGUAAACAAGGCGAAUUCUUUAUUGACAGGAUCUACAUGCAGUAACCACAUUACUUUGAGUGUUGAUAAGGCAAUCAUCACUCACUGACAUUUCCUUUUCUAUGCUUAGUAGGGAAAAUAUUGAUGAACUGAAGCAGGUAUGAAGAUGUUGAUCACCAAAUAAGUGGAACUUAUAAAAUAGCAUGAGUCUAUAGUUUGCGUGAUGGAACGGUACAAGCACUUAGUUCAUGACUAGGUGUAGAAAAAGAGCUAGGUUAUAUCAAUGGCUUCAAGGAAUCCCAGUAUAACAGUGUAUAUGAAUGGAAAAUGUAAUGAAACUAGAACUCUCAAGAGGUAGCUUUUAGACAACAAAAGUUGUACAUUGUCCCCUGCUAAAAGAUGGAAUGGAAGAAGUUCUAACUGCUAUCAGGGUCGCUACAUCGUUUUCAAUGAACCGAUUUCGCAUUUAUAUAGCUCAUGCCACAGUCAGUGGCAGGAGAGACGGGUUAAUGUAUUAGCAAGGUGCAACACAAGGAGAAUAGCAGCAUACCUUGAGUACAUGGCCAAUUCUGAAGGCACCCAUGAUUUGUUCUUUGGAUACCAGACAAAGAAGUGGGAUAAGAGCAAAAGGGAUCUGAAAUGACUGAAGCACAUUAAGCCAUUCGUUCAAUGUAUCAAGGGCUGCUUCAGACGAAUCGAAAACAAGAGCAACUAUAAUAGUAGGAAUAAUUGCACAACUCCUUGUGAUCAAAGCUCUUACCCAUUUUUUCAACUUCAGCUUCAAGAAGCCUCCCAUGAUGAACUGCCCUGCAUAAGUGCCUGUAAUAGUGCUACUUUGUCCAGCUACUAACAACCCAAUAGCCCAAAUAUACAAAGUGGGGAGUAACCCGCCUCCAUAUUUUUCUUCAAGAUACUGGCCUGCAUUCCCAAGACCAAUACCAGUGGCUAUUUCUGUGUCAUAAAAUGCUUUAGCAAAGACAGUGGUAACAAACAGGUUGAUUAUAAAUGAAAUUAUAAGUGCAGCAGUCGACUCGAUCGAGUAAUAAUUGAGAGCUUCUUGCACCUGGCCUUUCUUGUUACGAUCGAUUUCGCGUGAUUGCACUAGAGCAGAGUGCAAGAAUACAUUGUGAGGCAUAAUAAUGCAGCCCACAACUCCCACAGCCUGCUUGAUGGUUUUGGAGCUGAGUUUUGGAACCGAAACACCUGUGAAAAUAUGAAACCAUUUGAGCAUCAGUGAACUGCAAUACUAAAUGAAAUUUAUUGAGAUAUAUGAAGCAUGGAAUUUGCUACAAUGGAGCCGAGUUAGUCACCGUGAAGAAGCUCGGUGCCACUUGGUUUUGUUUCACCGACCAUCCAAGCAAAUGAGACGGCCAUUGUUGCAAUAAGGACAGCAAAAAAUGCUUCCAGCUUCCUCACUCCAUAGUUUUCAAGAAACAAGAAGAUAAAACUGUAACAAGCCAAAGAAAACGAAGAACCAGGUGAGCAUACAAAAUAAACCGAAAACCUUGAAAAUUCAGACAUCGUAUAUCAUAAAGAAGCAACCUUUAAUGCACACAAAUACUUCUAACAACAAUAAUAAUAACUCCAAAUAUCAACAAGAACACUAACCAAUCACUAGCCGUAAUAAGAACUCCAGCCCACAAAGGCAAAGCACCAUUACUCAAAAUCUUAAUAGCAAUAACACUUCCAAUGACUUCCUGUAUAUCAGCUCCAACCAAAGCCAGCUCUGCCAUCACCCACAAAACCAUCCUAUCCCAAGUCGGGUACUCUUCGCUACAAAGCUCAGCCAAGUGUUUCCCUGUCGCCACACCAAGCCUUGCAGCCAACAACUGAACUAACAACCCCAUAGCCGUAGCCCACAUCAACAGCCACAGUAAAGAGUAACCGGCUAUAGCUCCGGCUUGGAGAUCGCCUUCUAAAUUCCCAGGGUCCAAAAACGCUAUUGACAUUAAAAAACCGGGUCCGGUGAAAAGCCAAAGCUUUUUCCAGGAAAAAGGUGGGACGACACCCAGUGAAGCUUCAUCGUCUGGUUCGUUGAUUCCAAGGAUGUGGACCUUUUCACCGGAGUCGUAGGCAACAUCCUCGUCCGAGUCUUGAUCGGAUAGUAACGGAACCUUAUUGUCUUCCGGUUGCAUGUUGGGGUGUAGGCAGCGUCUAGUGGAGGGUGCUUUUGGCUUUUGGACUUGGUUUGAACAAAACUAAAACGAAAAGGACAACUACCGUUCCUUCCCACCAUUGCUCGUGGGCUUUCCUUUUUCGCCUUUAGUGCCUUCACUUCUUUUUUUUUUUUUUUUUUUUUACCAUAUACUAUAUAUUUAUGGGAUUCUUGGUAAUUUGCCACAUACAUAAAUGCAAUGGCUAGCAAAUUUCUAGAAUAAAAAUGAUAGAAUUUAAACUUCAGCAUAAAAAUUGUAAAAUUUCUUUAAAGUAGAAAGGUUUAAUCGAAUCAAAUUUUUAAUUUUAAAUCCAAUCUUACAUUUGAGUUUUAAUCUAUUUAUCAGGAAAUACGUUAAAAUUAUUAUAUUAAGUUCAUUAAUGUAACAUUUUGAAAUAAAAAAAAAUUACUCACUUAUAAUCAUUUAAAAGAAAUUGUAAUAGAUUUAAAUUUAACAUAAGAAUUAACAAUAUUAAUAAUUAGAUUUAUAAUUUUAAAUCUUAAAAGUAGAGAGAUUAAAAUUUUAAAAAUAAAAAUAUAAGAACUAAAUUAUAAAUAUAUGAAGAAUAUAGAGCAUAUUUUAACAAAUUUCUUAUAGGUUAAAUUCAACUCGAUUUCAUGUCAUGACUCUGUUUUUUCUCUAUGAGCUUUUUGGAUUGAAAUAUAAAUUUUUUUAAACUUAUAGCUACAAAAUGCGUUUAAGAAAAAAAUAAAAAAAAAUAAAUUUAGCCCUUCACUAAAUUUACAAUCAAUUGAGCUUUCGAUAAUAGUCUUUAUAUUUGAUUAUGUUGACCGUUAAAAUUAAUUGGCAGACCAAUAAAAUAGUGGCACGUGUGAGUUUAUAGUUUAAUCUUAUAUUUUUUCAUUAAAAAUAUUAAAAAACAUAAAGAUUAUAAAAAAUUAGAGUAAACUAUCAAAAUAGUCACUUUUGUUUGCCUUAGGUCACAUUUUAGUCACUUAUGUUUGAAAUGUUAUGUUUUAGUCACUUACGUUAUCAUGUUGUAACAUUUUAGUCACUAAGCCAUUAACAGUGUAAUGGUAAGCUAAGGUGGCACGUUAAAUCAUCAUUUUAAAUAAAAAUUUUAGGAGAAAUUCUACAAUUGAUCCUUAUAUUUUUUUCCAUUUUGAGCAAUUUAAUUUUUUUUCUUUUAUGUUCUUUUAACUUUCUUUUUUUUUCCAUUCUCUUCUGCUUCUCCCUCUGUUUUCCUCCUUUUUUUCAUUUCUUUUAACGUAGUUUUUCCAUAUUUUUCAUUUGUUAAAACUAGUCCACAAGCUUGUCUUACUCGAAAAAAUUAAAUUGUUAAAAAAAAGUAUUGGGACUAGUUUUAACAAAUGGAAAACAUAGAAAAACUACGUUAAAAGAAAUGGAAAAAGGAGGAAAACAGAUGGAGAAGCAGAAGGAAAUGGAAAAUAAAGGAAAAAAAGAAAGUUAAAAAAUAAAAGAAAAAAAUUAAAUUGCUCAAAACAAAAAAAUACGGGGACCGAUUGCAUAAAUUAACCUAAAAUUUUUGUUUGAAAUGAUGAUUUAACGUGCCACGUCAGCUUAUCGUUACAUCGUUAACGACAAUUAACGGCUCAGUGACUAAAAUGUUACAACGCGAUAACAUAAGUGACUAAAACGUAACAUUUCAAACAUAAGUGACUAAAAUAUAACCUAAGGUAAACAAAAGUGACUAUUUUGAUAGUUUACUCAAAAAAUUAUAAAAUUUAUAAAAUUCUAAUAAAUUAUAAAAAAAAUUAAUAAAGCAUAUUUAAAAUAUUUAAAUCUUAUAAAAACUUAUAAAUAAUAAAAAUCUAAUAAAUUAUAAAAUUAUUAAAAAUUAGAAAAAUUAAAAAUUAUAAAAAAAAAUUAUUUAAACACUUAAAAGCAUAAUGAACACAUGACAUUAGACCAAUAUUUGGAUAAUGAGAAUAGUCAUCAAAUUGUUAGGAUCAAUUUCAUGUUGAGUAAAAUGUUCUUGAUCCUCUGCAAAUAAAACAAUAGUUGCAGGACCCUUUUAUUUUUAUCAAUAAAUUAUUUUUGUAAAAUUUUUAUCUCUAAUUUUCUAAGUAUAGUACAUGGACUUAAAAAGUUGAAAAGUGUAUGCUAACUAUGUUAUGAUAUAAAGUAUUUUUGGUACAAUUAGAAACUAUCAACUAAAAUUUCAUUAUCCAACAAUUACAAAUAUUAGCAUAUCAAUAUAAAAUAUUUUAACCAAGGUUUUUAAAACUGGACCAAUAGUUGAACUAACUAGGCCAUUGAUUCUACCAGUUCAAUUGUUCUGUUUAGUUCAAUUAAAUAAAUCAUUAAAAAAAUUUAAAAAUAAAAAAGUAUUAAAAAAAAGACCAAUUACUUAAAAUUUUGGCAAAAAUGUUUUUGGCAAUUUUUGAAAAUAAGUAUGAUUUUAAAUGCUUAGUUGUUGUCUUAGUCCAGUUAGUAAAUAUGAUACUUUGUAUCCGGAUCCUUCGAUCGGGUCGGGUAUAAGGUGUUAUAAUAGUGGUAGUUUAUUUAUUUAGAAUAAAUUUUAAUUUUUGGAAAUUACGAUAUUUAUUGGUUUUUUAUUGAGAGAAUUACUUUCAUAUUGAAAGUAAGUUUCGUAUUCUGUGUUUGGUUGGUAUUGCUUGAGCCCACACUCGACAUAUUUCGUGGUAUGAGGAUAGUAGAGAAUGUCAUUCGGUUGAAAAUCAGGAUCGACUUGAAUUCAACUCGCACAAAACAUGAGUACUUAUUGAUAAAAGUUUAUUACUAUAAAUAUCACAAAUUAAGUCGGUUUUAAAAAAUUUUAAACUUUCACUAUAAAUAUAAAUUGUUUUUUAAACCGGAUUCUUCCAACAAUCCUUGAAAUUCCGAAUAGCUUGUAGACAUCUGAGACUCCUACGAUGCGAAGGACUCAUGGCUAAUGCUCCCUGUGAGAUAUUGGUGCAAUUGAAGGCUUUUCCCAUAAUUUGCUAGCAAUUAUAAGGGCUUACCAACUCUCCGGAUUGCUUUCUUGAACUUGCAAGAAGGGAAUUGUAAAACUUUCAUUCCACACCCUGAUGCUCAAGUCAAACAUAUUGAAGAGAGAAAAGAGAUAAACCAUGUGAUUUGGGGACUUAUGAGAUGGUUAUAAAUGGUGAAGGGGGUUGCCAUUUAUAAGAUGAUUGGAGACAACUAGAGAUUCAAACGUUACGCUCUUAUUAAGAGCUUAAUAGGUGGUAGGUGUCAAUUUCGUGUUGGAAGCUUAGGGUGCACGAGCAUUGAAAUAGGGGAUUUCUCUCCAACAUUCCAGCGUGGGCCUUCUUAACUUUGUGGUCUUCUUCUUUGGGCCGCCUUAUGUGAUAUUGGUAAUGUAGUCUCUAAUGGACUCAAAUAUGGGGACUCAAAGAUCUAGAGUCUGAGUUGUACCCAAAUAAGUAUUUUUUGCUUGUUAUCCGUUCAGUCUUCAAAUAAUCAAAUGUUAUGUAUUCGAUAAUUUGAAAUCGUAAGAUUAAAAUUUCAAGCAAAAAUAUAAAAUUAGAUGCAAGCAUAAUCUGAACUUGUUAGGUACUUCUGUUCCACUCGACUCAAGUUUGUUUGAAAUCUAUGUUGGAUAAGGUAAAAGUACAAAGCAAGCAGAUCUAUGAGUAUACUCUGUAAAUCAAAAUGCUUAUCAAAAGCUUGUGAGUGCCUGAAUUGUUGAGACUUUGCUUCAUUCAAGCAUGUCCUCAGCUUUUCACUUCUCCUCCACUGCCAACACCCUCCAUAAACCGUAGCACUCUCUCAUUCGCCGCCGUCACCAACUUUCCACCAUCACCAGACAAGCUAGCUCUUCUUUUAGAUAAAUCCAGCUCCAUCCAUCACUUGCUCCAAAUCCACGCAGCUCUUCUCCGCCACGGCCUUCAUCAACACCCCAUCCUAAAUUUCAAGCUUCAACGCUCUUACUCUUCUCGAGGCCGUCUCGACUAUUCACUCGCUCUCUUCAAUCGAACUCUCAACCCCAACAUCUUUUUCUACACUUCUAUCAUUAACGCCCACGCCCUCCAUGGUCUCUCCCAAGAAGCUUUAUUUAUCUAUACGCAAAUGUUAUUUGAAGGUGUGCAGCCUAAUGAGUUCACUUUCUCUUCCAUAUUGAAAUCUUGUUCUCUUGAGCAUGGAAAAAUGCUUCAUUCUCAAGUUAUCAAACUUGGGUUUGAUUCAGAUUUGUAUGUAAAGACAGGUCUAGUCGAUGUUUACGCGAGAGGGGGUGACGUUGGGUCCGCCCGUCUCGUGUUCGAGAGAAUGCCAGAGAAGAGUUUAGUUUCUUUGACCACGAUGCUAACUUGUUACGCGAAACACGGGGAGCUUAAGGAGGCAAGGUUGCUGUUUGAUGGAAUGGUGAAGAAGGAUGUGGUAUGUUGGAAUGUGAUGAUCGAUGGGUAUACUCAACAUGGAAUGCCCAAGGAAGCUUUGGUGCUUUUCAGGCGAAUGUUGGCAGCGAAAGCUAGGCCUAAUGAAAUCACUAUACUAACUGUUUUAUCAGCUUGUGGUCAGCUUGGAGCUUUAGAGUCAGGCAGAUGGCUUCAUUCCUAUAUGCAAAAUAAUGAUAUUCAAGUGAGUGUUCGUGUUGCUACUGCUUUGAUUGAUAUGUAUAGCAAAUGUGGGAGCCUGGAGGAUGCAAGAUUAGUGUUCGAUAAGAUUUAUUAUAAGGAUGUUGUUGCAUGGAAUUCGAUGAUUAUAGGGUAUGCCUUGCACGGUUUCAGCCAAGAUGCAUUGGAGUUGUUUCAUGAAAUGUGCAGGAUUGGUUUGCGCCCUACUGAUAUUACUUUCAUUGGUGUUUUGGGUGCAUGUGGUCACGCUGGUUUGGUCAAAGAGGGAUGGAGUUUUUUCAAUGCAAUGAGAGAGGAGUAUGAGAUCGAACCCAAGAUCGAACAUUAUGGAUGUAUGGUAAACCUUCUUGGUCGUGCUGGUCGAUUAGAAGAGGCAUAUGAGCUUGUGAGGAACAUGAAGGUAGAGCCUGAUCCCAUCUUGUGGGGAGCUUUGCUUGGGGCAUGUAGGUUACAUGGUAAUCUUGAAUUGGGAGAGAAAAUAGCAGAGUAUCUUGUCAGCCACAAUCUUGCUAAUUCAGGGACUUAUAUUCUUCUUUCCAACAUGUAUGCUGCAAAAGGCGAUUGGGAAGAGGUGGCGAGGAUAAGGACCUUGAUGAAAGACAGUGGAGUGCAGAAGGAGCCUGGUUGUAGCUCAAUUGAAGUGCACAAUAGGGUUCAUGAGUUCCUUGCUGGGAAUUUGAAACAUCCAAAAACCAAAGAAAUAUAUGAGAUGUUAGAGGCAAUGAAUGGUUGGCUCAAAGCUCAUGGUUACACCCCACAAACAGAGAUUGUACUACAUGACAUAGGGGAUGAACAAAAAGAGCAGUCACUUGAAGUUCACAGUGAGAAGCUGGCGCUUGCAUAUGGUCUAAUCAGCACUCAACCGGGGACCCCUAUCAAGAUCGUAAAAAACCUCCGGGUGUGUUCAGAUUGCCAUGCCGUGACCAAGUUGAUUUCUAAGAUCACCGGCCGUAAAAUUGUAAUGAGGGAUCGGAAUAGGUUCCACCAUUUUGUGAAUGGUUCAUGUUCUUGCGGGGACUACUGGUGAUCAAUAAAAAAGUUAGACCAACAUUCUAGUUUUGUUGAAAUACAGAAGCUAGAAUUGAAUUAGACGCUCAAAACUGAUGCCCUUUGGUUUAGUAAGACGAACUUGCCGUAGAAUGGGAUUAGGCCAUCUUAUUUUAGGCGUCUUCUUGAGGUCAUUGAUUCAGUGUUUUAAAUGCGAAAGGGUGGGAGAGAAGGAAAUUUACAUGACUGAACCAUCGAGGAUGAAUCCAACUUGUAUAUUGAUUUUUAUUUUUAAAGAUUUUAAUAUGUGUAUAACCAUAUUUAAUAUGUCCAUGUAUUUGUUGGGCUCGAGUGUUUUAUUUAAAGAACAAAAAAUCUAGAUAAACGAAAUUAAACUAUGCUAUCGUGUGUAUAUAGAAUCUAAAAUAAAGUUUUAUGCAAAGAAGGAAAUAAUUUUAGGUCUCGAUUCGCUAGUAUAUUAUACUAUUAAUCACAAUAAAUAAUAAUUUCAUCCAAUUUUACAAUUAAUUUAAUUUUAUUAUUUUUAUUUAGCCAUUACUUUUAGGUAUAAUGCCAAAAUUUUGUUAACAAAUACAUUUUCUUUCAAUUUAGUCCUUUUCUUUUUUUAAAUUAAAUUUAGUUUUUAACUUUUUAAAAAGAGUCGAAUUUGACUAUUAACUUUUCAAAAAGUCAAAUUAUUAUUUAAAACGAAAAUACUGACUAAAAUAUUAAAAUUUUAAAUAUGAUAACCUGUAUGGCAAUUCACAUGUACUUCAUAUAUUUUUUAAUUUUUAUGAAAUUUUGUUGGAUUUUGAAUUUUUUAAUAUUAUUGUAAUUUUUAAAUUAUUUAAAUAGUGCAAUGUUAGCAUGAAGUACAUAUGGACUAUUACACGAGUUACCACGCUGACAUUAUUAAAAAAUUAAUAUUUUAGUUGAUAUUUUCAUUAAAAAAUUAACUUUUUGUAAAUUUUAAUAUUCGAUGUACCAUUUAAUUUUUCCUUUGUUUUUUUUUGUUGCUUUUGUAAAAAUAAAAAUUCUCAUAGAAUGGAAAUCAUUCUAAUCUCAAAAUUUAAAAUUAAACAUUUAUAGUAUUAUGUUUUAAUUUUUUAAUCAUGAAAUGUAAUUAAAAGUAAUUUAAAUAAUAUAUACAAUUAGAGCUGAGCAAAAUUCGAUUCGAUUUGAAAAAUUCGAUAAAAAAUUAAAAAAUUGAAUUAAAUAGUUCGAGUUAUUUGAGUUAAUCAAGUUAUUCGGAUAAACUCGAAUAAAAAAAUUAAGUUUUUCGGUUUAACAUGAAUAUGAAUUAUACAAUUCGAGUUAUCCAAAGAUCCGAAUAAGAAAGGGCAAAACUACGUCGUUUUGAUAAAUGUUUACCUUUUCUAAAAUUAAAAGUCAAAAUUAUUAAGUUAAAAGGAAAAAUUACGUCCUUUUGAUAAAUGUUUACUCAUUAAGUUAAAAGACAAAACAAUUAUAUUGUUUAUGUAGUUAAAUAAUUUUGUAUUUCAUCUACUAGUUAAAUAAUCGGUCCAUGUAAACAUAACAUUGAGUAUAAAUAAUAUGAUUCGUUAACUCGACUCAAUUCGAUUAGAUUAGAUUAAAAUAAAAAAUUCAAAUUGAAUUCAAUUGCUAAAAUGUAAUUCAUCAACUCGACUAACUCAAUUCAACUCAACUCAACUCAACUCAACUCAACUCAACUCAAUCAAAUACUCACCCCUAAAUACAACUCACCUAACAUCGUCCAAGUAAAAACAACAAAAACUAGUGUAUAUAUGCACAAUAAACUGGUCAUAGAAUGAAACAAAAAUGACCGAAUCCAUUUUUUAUUUAUUAUUAAUGGUGGGAUGUCAUUAAAGUUUUCAUCGCCAUAACUUCUUUACUUUUGUAAAUGUCAUCCCGCCUAUAUGGUCAAGCAUCAUUUUCCAAAAUGGGUAAGUUUUCAUUUUCUUUUUUGGGAUAAUGCGAUAUUUGCCCCCUUUACUUUAGUAAUAUUUUCAAAUGUGAUAUCUAAAGUUUCAAAAUGUCCAAUGUGUCCCUUGUAUUUUACUUCUGUCUUCUAAAAAGAUAACGGGGUCUAACUACGUUAAUGCUUGACAUGUUAGGACACAUGGGCAACUCUUAUCAAGCCACAUUUCACAUUUUUGCAAAAAAAAAAAAGCCAAGUCAAGUCAAGGGGCUUUGAAACAAUUUUACCCUUUUUCAAGGCAAAAAAAAAAGAAAGAAAAAAAAUAAAACUUCAUUAAAAUCUUUUUGUAAUAUGCUUCUAAUUUUAAUCCCAAAACCCAUUGAUUUCCCUUUUUCCAUAACUAAAAAGAGUCCUCAUUUUCAAAUGCAAACCUUCAUUUUCCACCACCACUAUCACAGAGCUUGAGCCUAUUUUCACCAUUGUCAAGUCCUUCACCCCAGCUGUGGUGGCAAAUCUUGUUCCAAGUUUUGACUUCCUUGGCAUUGCCAUUGAUGGCCCUGGUAAUGUUUUCAUUUCAGAAUCUUUAGGGGUUUCGAUUUCAAACACCCAUUUUUAUUUAUGAAGAGAACAUCCAACUUUUAGGAUUUUAGUUUCAAUUACUAUUUGGGGAAAUAAAAUUUAUAAAUUAAGAUUUUGAUGGGUUUCGAUUUGGAAAAAUUGAUUUUGUGGGGAUUCUUCUAACACCUCAAUACCUGACCCGAUCGCCAGACUCGAGAUAUAAGAUGUCACAUUUGUUGCCGAAGCAACUACGAUCGGUCACAGUCAAUUUAUACCAUUUAAUGUUUAAAUUCAACCAAAAUGUAGAUUUAAUACAAUAUACAAACAUUUCCAGGUCAUACACGAGCUUACGAAAGCUCAAAUAGUAACCCAAAGUCAAAGAAGGACCAAAUUGUAAAAGUUUCAAAAUACAAGGUUGACAUCAUGAUGUCACCAAACAGUUUGUCACGUGACGGCACCAGGCCACUCGACGUCGCAGCGCCACUUACUGUGUUGACCUCGUCGAGACGACGGGGUUCCUCGUCUCUUAGUGACAUUAUAGAUCAUUUCUCGUCGCGACGUCCCGUAUUGUUUUGACAAUUUAUACAGAACAAUAACCUGCAAAUUUUCCAGCCAAGUUCUAACACAUUCAAAUUUUAUACCAACUAACAAAUACAUUCAUCUAGCAGAAACUCACGUACUUAACAAUCUAGUUCAACAAUAAGCAAAUGCUUUAUACCCUAUAAACUAACAAUCUAAGGCAUUACUUUUAAAACAUACACGUUCAUAUGAAAAUCAUCAAGAACUUUAAUAUUGCAGCACAUAUACAUAUUCAUACUAAAUUUAAGUCAAUUUACAAACCAUAUCUAAUCAACCAAGCUUAUACAUUAGUCUUUUGAACCAAAAUUGUUUAUAAGCAUAAUAUGUGUAAUAUCCCGAAAAUUACUACUGUAAUACCCUAAAAAUUACUACAGUAAGAAAAUAGGUAUCCUUGAUAGUAAAAUAAGAAAAUAAAGUGACAAAAAGGAAAAUUUUGAGUUAUGGCAAUAUUGGGAAUUAUAUUAUGACAUAUUAAUUCAAGAAAGGAUUAAAUCGCAAAAGUGAGAAAAGUUUUGUUGCCCAAGAGUAAGUACUCGAAAUUUGAGGGGUUAAAGUGUAAAUAUGAAAAAUUUGAAGGACCAAUAGUGUAAAUAUUUUAAGGGUGGAAUAAUUUAGAAACUAAGUAAAAUGGAUGAAUUAGGACCAAAUUGAAAAGGUGAAGAAUUUUGAGGGACUAAAUCAUAAUUUUACCAAAUUAAGUGAUGACUCAAGGAUGAAAUUUUUAAAGGUUAUAAAGGGCAAAAUGGUUAAUUAGAAGAGAGAGAAAUCUAGAAGGCAAUGAUGAUGUUGGUGAUAUUUUAGAUUAAUUAAAUAAAUAUUAGUUUAUUAAUAUUUUAAUUUGAUUUUUAAAUGAUAUUUUAUUAUUUUAUUAUUAUUCUAUUUGGUAUAUAUAUGGAAGGAAAGGUGAAAAAUCUUCAUAUGCAUCCAAUGUAUGAAGAGAAAAGAAAGAAAGAAACUUUUUUUUCUUUACAAUUUGGCCCUUUCACCAAAAAAAUCACCAUUUUCACUUAGAAAUCAAAAGAAUUUUCAUAUCCAUCAAGAGAGAAAGAUAACAAGGAGACAAUGGGGAGCUAGAAUAUCAAGUUAGAUUCAAGAAAUAGAAGCUGGAGGAGAGAGAAUCAAGUUAAAGAUUGAAAUCAAUAGGACAAGGUAAGAACAUCAAGAUUUCAAUAUAUUUUUAAGUUUGUUAUUAUUGAAAAAGUAUGGAAAUGAUGUUAUAUUAGAGUUUUCUUAAAUGAAGUCUUAUGUUCUUGAUAUAUUAGUGAAGGGAAAUAAAAGAAAGUGAUGGAAAAUAUUAUAGAGAAAAUGAAUAAGAAAGUUAUAAACUUAGUAAUCAACAUUUUGCACUAAAACAGUUUUAGACAGCAGCAGUAGACUAACUUCGAAAAAUCACCAUAAAUUAUGGAAAUCGAAUUAUAGGAUGAAAAAAAUUGGAAUUAAAUAUUAUUAAGUCUAGUUUCUCAUAGAAGAAACGGUGUAAGUAAUGGAAUUGUAAAUCAUGAGAUAUAAUAAAUUAUGUGAGACAAGGUCAGAAUGAAUUCGGGUUCCCCUGUUCUGAAUUUGGAAAAUCAUAAAAAAUUAGAGAAAAAAUAAUUAUGGGCUUAAAUUUAUAUGUUUAAAAUACUGAAUGAGUCUAUUUUCAAGAGAAACAAACGGAAACAUCAUCCAAAUCCUGUAUGAGGAGAUAAUUAAUUUUUAGUGAAGAAGGGUCAGAACUGUCAGACAGCAGAAUAGGGAUGACUUUAAAGAAUAAACUGUACUUAUUGGCCAAACCAAAAAUUCUGAAAGUUUUAUAGUAAGAAGAUAUAUGAGUCUAGUUUUAUAGAAAAUUAACGGAUCUCAAUUCAGAGUUACAUAGCUCAAGAUAUAAAUAAUUUUGUGACAAUGACUGAAGUGGACAGCUUUGAAUGAACAAAUAAAAAAAUAGUGAAAUUAUAGAUAAUGUUACAUAUAAGCAUGUUAUAUACACUAAGGAUGUGGAAUGUAGAGGAGGAGGAAAUUAUAUGAUUAUUCAACUAGCAUGAGUUUUCAUUAAAAAUGGCUAAUCUGCAUGUUUUAGGUUCAGGGACUAAAUUGAAUAAAAGUAAUAUUUUAAGGGUAAACUUGUAAAAAUGUCAAAAAUGACCAAAUUGCAUGAAAUGAAUUGUUUUAUUAUUUAAAUUAAUAAAUUUAAUGAAAUAUUAAUUUAUAUCAAGAUUGAGUGGAAAUUCGAAGGAAAAUAGAAAAUUACCAAAAUAUCCCUGAAUUUUGGUAUUUCUGCAAUUUAGCCUGGUAAGUUCGUGUAACUUGAAUUAUAUUCUUAGAUGAUUGAAAUCUAUAUAUUGGAUUGAGAAAUUGAUUUGAAUUGUGAACAUGAGAAAUUGUGAAUUGGAUGAAAUGGAAAUGAAGCUUUGAAUUACAUGAGUAAAUAUCGGGUCUCGUAGGCCCUAUUUGUUAUGAAUAUAAUAUUUCGAGGAUAUGCUGUAAAGAAUUAUAAAAGCACGUUAACAAUUUAAAAGUUUUAAUUCGGAUGAAAUUUUGUAACUUGGUUUAAUACGUAUGCAAAUGUAUGUCUUCUAGUAAUGUCUCGUACCCUAUUCCGGCGUCGAAUACGGGUAAGGGAUGUUACAAUGUGACAUCGCCAGAUUCGGUCAUAACGUUUAGACCGGGUUUGGGGUGUUACAAUAUGUAUUAAACUUGACUCAACCUAGGUACAUGCCUUAUAACCGACAAAAGAGAUUUAUACAAACAUUGUUGAGUCAUCACAAUUCAAAGCUAAUUUUACAUUAUCAUUAAGUUAUACUAUUUUCAAUUUUAUUUAAUUUAGUCCUAUAUCUCGAUAAUCAAUCAAAUUCAUACCAAUGCAAUUUGAUCAAUCAUAUUUCACUUACCUCAAUAUCGUACCAUGCAAAAUAACAUAAAUAUGCAACAAUACAAGUAAUUCAAAUCAUAGAAAUACAAACGAACACAUGAGUUAUUCGUCGUUGGCUUUCACCUUUCCUCUCCCUCUUGACGUUCCCGUGUCGUCUUUAACUACAAAUAAUAAUUCGACAAUACAUAAUAUUAAAAGCUCAAAUCAAAAUUAAUUACAAGGUCACACAUAUUUUCCAAUUUAUUCAAUUCAGUCCCUAAAAUCGAGGCUAACCUAACUAUCAAUUUAAAGCUCUAAACUGAAAUACAAUUUCACUAUUACCCAUUAGAGACCUCCAAUUUCUUAUUGAUACUAUCAAAUUUACAUUUUAUUCACUUUAGUCUCUAAUGUAAAAACUAUUAAUUUAGCUUCACAAUUUAGUUCUUUUUCACAUCUAAGCUUAAAACCUAUCAAUUUAACACCUAAAACUUUAAAUUCUCAAUAAUGACAUCUUUCAAAACUUUAACAUUAGUAUAUGGGCUAGCUAAAUCAAGCUCCCAUGACCUCAAAAACAUUGUAAUACCUAAUUAGUGACCAAAACUUUGAAAACCCUUGGAGGCUUUUGUUUUCCUCUUCAAUGGAGGUGGACGGUUUUUAGGUGGAAGAUGAAAGAAAGUUUCUGUUUCAUUCCACUGAAUUUGGAUAUAUAUAUAUAUACAUGAUUAAGUUUUAAUUAAUCUUAGUUUAAUUAAACAUAGUUUAUUUUAAUUAAGUUUAAUGCUUAAUUAACCUUACCAUCCAGUAGCUCUUAAUUUGACAUGGUAUAAUUGAAAUUUUAGACCCUUGGUUAACUGCAAUUUAAGUCCCUAAAUCUUUGGCCAAUUAAAAAAUUAUAGCGAUAAGACUUUUACAAUUUAUCCCUAGGCCCUAAUUAAACACAAUUUCGACUAAAUUACUUAUCCAGAAUUCAGUUCACCUAUAUAGUAACUUCUUAACUUUUUUUAUUUAAUAUUUACAGACUCGGUUUACGGAAAUGGAGUCCCAAAACCAUAUUUUUUGACACCACUGGAAAUUGGGUCGUUACAGUCUUCUUCACUUUUCGGAUGAAACCAAAAAAGAUUAUGGCCUAUAUCUCCAUGAAAACUUGAGAUUUUGAAAGAUGGGUUUUCAAAUAGGGAAGAAGAUUGCUUGGUUUUUUUUUCUUUUUUUUCUUUCACUGGAUGAGAAGUGACAAAAAUGAAACCAAAAGCUAAACCUUAACGAUUACAAAUUGGGGAUGGUUAUUGCCAAAUCAAUUUUUUUAAAGAGAAAAUUUUGGGGAAGAGAUAUUGACAUUGUCAUUGAUGAAGAAGAUGAAAUUUGGGAUUUUUAUUUGAUUUUAGUUAAAAUAAAGGUUUGGUAUAAUUGUGUUUUAGUCCUUCAAAUGACUGCAUAAAAGAGUGAUGUGGCAAAUUGAGCCACAUGUUAUUUCCCAAAAAAUGUCAACCAUUUUCUUUUGCCUUCGGAAAUAAAAUGGUAAAAUUGUUAUCAUGCCCCUAGAUUUGAAUUGGCUAACAUUUUUCUUGCAAAAAUUGCCACAUGUCGAUAUUUUAGUGGUUCACGUGUAAUGCCACAUCACACUUUAACGCCAAUAGACUCAAGUACCUUUUUAGAAAACGAAAGUAAAGUACAAGAGGUACAUUGGACAUUUAGAAACUUUAGGUACCAAAUUAAAAAUUUUACUAAAUACAGGGGCGAAUAUGCCAUUAUCCUUUUUUUAUAACUUCCAUUUUUGAAAUACUUUAUAGACCAAUAUGUAGUUUUAUUUUAAUCCCAAAUGGAUCAGGUUUCACCUAUUAUGGGUAGAUUCGACUUAACUUUUUCAACAAAAAGUAUAUCAAAUGGAUAUCAGAUAAAGCUUUAACUAUCGCUUCAUACAAGUAAAGACAAAAUUAUAUAUUUAUAAUCACAAAAAAUAUUUAAGUAUUAUUAUAAAAAAAAUAAUCCAUAAAUGAACAACUGUUAAUGCUCAUUUUAAAAUUUUACUAUUAAAGUUUAUUAAUUACAAAUUAACAUUAUACUUUUAAAUAAUUUUUUUAAGUAAUGAAGUUUUUUUUAAAUUUUAAAUAAUAUAUUGUCAUAAAUAGCAAUUGAUUGAAGUCUAAAUGAUUUGACUUUUAAAAUAUAUUUAGUAUUUAAAAUUUUUUUAUAGAUAUCUAAAGUAUCCAAACGUUAAAGAUUUUAGUCUAAAAUUGUGCUAUUAAAAAGAACUCAACGAAUUAAAUUAUGCCAUGUGUUUUUGUUUUAUAAUUUCAUAAAUAUUAUUGUUAAAAUUGUUUUCCUAGUAUAUUAUUAUUAUUAUUAUUAUUAUUAUUAUUAUUAUUAUUAUAAUUUCAUAAAUAUGAUGCCCACGGAUGACGACAUUGACGAGAAUACCAAAAUCGUUGAGUUCUUUUAUUAAGCCGAUGGACUUCAAAGGAUUUAUGAUCGUCGGAAUAAAAGGAUUUGGAGACAAAAACAAUCAUUAUGAUAAGAAUCUUGAAACCCACAAUUUAUCUAUAUAUUUAUUUUUUUUAAAAUAAAAUAUUUAAUUAUUAUAUAUAGACGAAGAUGAAUAAUUACUCUGAAUUUGAUGAAGAUGAAAAUUUUGAUUUUUUAUUAAAAAUAUUUAAUUAUUUCAUUUAUAUAUUUAAAAGUUUAUAUAUAAUUUUUAUAAGAGAACUCACUAAAAGGGCUCCUAAAUCAUCUUUGGAUUUUUCCAUAGUUUUCUAAAAACAAAAAUGCUUGGGUUUUUUUUCUGUUGGAUAAAAGGUGGAGGAGGGGAUGUGAGAAGGGAGAAUUAAAUAAUAUACUUUUUAUUUGGUCAAAGGUUGUUAAAAUUCUUUUAAACUUUUUUAGAAAAAUUUCAACUAAGUUUCUAUAUUUUUCUUCAUUCAAUUAAGUACUUGAACAAUAGGAUUAUAAUUAAUUAAAAAUUUGACUCUUAACCGUUACAGAAUAACGAUAGUCUUUUUUCUGGAUAUUUUACCACUUGACACACCAUAAUUAUGCCCAGUGACAAAAAUUGGUGUUUUAUAUUUAAAAUCAUUACAAAUUAUAAAAAAAUUAUAAAAAAAAUCAUAGAAACUAUAGAAAAUCAUAAAAAUUUAAAAAUUAUAAUAUAAACGUUUUAAAAAAUUAUAAAAAAAUAAAAGUGCAAAAAUUAUAAAAUAUAGAAAACUAUAAAAAUUAUUAUAAAUGAAAAAAUAUAAAAUUAAAUAUAUUAAAAAUAUAUAUUAUAAAAAAUAUAAAUCAUGAAAAUAUAGAAAAAAUUGUAAAAAUUAUGAUUUUUUUAAAUAUAGAAAUUUAUUAGAAAUAUUAAUAAUUUUUUUAAAAAUAUUAUAAGAAACAUAAAAUUAUUAAAUAUAUUAAAAAAAAAAACUAACGUUCUCCAUUUACACACUAACCGUUGUUAACAAUACAAUACCAAUUAAAAAUUAUGAAAUAUUUUUUGAUCCCUAAAACUAUAUGCUAUGUUCGUCCACCACAAACCUCUCCAAACCUUAUGCCCUAUGUUCGUCCACCACAAACCUCUCCAAACCUUAUGCCCCUUUUGUCCAUGGAUGAUGACAAGAAAGUGAUUUGAGAUGUAAACUAAGGGUCAGUUCUUCAUUGCUUAAAAAAAAGUACUUUUGACUCCAAAAACAUUUUUGAAAGAAAAGCUGUGAAGAACAAGCUGCUUUUGGCUGAAAUUUUUAGCUUUUCAGAAGUACUUUUGAAAAUCAAUUCUGAAAAGGAGCUAAAAAGGAGAAACUAAAAAUUUUAGCUUUUCCUCUCCCAAAAACACUUUUGGUGCUUAAAUACUUUUUCACCCCUCCAAUAACAUAGUAUUUUUUUCUUUCUUGGUGCUUAAUUACAAUUGUGUUAAAAUCAUUAAUUAAAAUAUAAAAAAAUUAUUUUUUAAAAUACUAAUUACAAAUAUUUAAUGGUUAUAUUUAAAUAUUUAAAAUAUAAUUUAUAUAUUCUAAUUAAAAUUUAUAAAUAAUUAAUAUUUAUUGCUUAAAAAUAUUUAAAAUUUAUAUUUCAUAUAUUAAAAUAUGAACAACAAGUUAUAAUGAUUUUUUUUAUAUUCUUACUAAAAUAUAAUAAUAUUAACUAAUUUAAAUAUUAUUUAAAUGUAUAUUUGUUACUUGAUAAUAACAUGUCUAAAAUAAACAUUUUAUUUCUCAAAAGUACUUUUUGACAGCAAUGCUAAACACUCAAAUUUUAAACCAAACUUUUCAAAAGCAAUUUUCCACAGUACUUUUCAAAAGUAAUGAAGAACUAGCCAUAAGGUGGGGAAAUGGGUUGAGAAAGCAAAUGACAAUAGAGACUAUUUGUAUAUAAAAUGUAAAUAUCUUUUUUAUAUUUUAUAUUUUUUUAAUUUUUUAUAUUAAUUUUUGAAUAAAUUUUAAUAAUAAAUUUUUAAUUUUCUAUAAUUUUUUGCACUUUUUUUGUAAUUUUCUAUUUUAAUAAUUUUCUAUAUUUUAAACAUUUUUCUAUAUUUUUAAAUUUUUUAGUUUUUCAUAAUUUAUAUAUAUUUAAAAUUUAUUAAUGUUUUUAAAAUUUUUCUAUAACUUAUAUAAAAAAUUCAUUUUUAAUAAAAUUUUUUAAAAUUUAUAUUUUUAAAAUUUUUUCACUUUAAUAUUUUUAUAUAUUUUAAAAAAAGACAUAUAUUUUUAUGAUUUUCUAUAAUCAUUUAAUAUAUUUUUAUAAUUAUUUAAUAAUUUUUAAUGUUUUUGAAUAUAAAAUACAUGUUUUUGCCACAUGACACAAUUUUGGCGUACCACGUGGCGAGAACACAUAAAAAUGACUAUAAUUAUUCUAUAAGAGUUGACCGUUAAUUUUAAUGGUCAAAAGGCUUAAUUGAUUGUAAUUUUAAAGUUCAAGGGAUUAAUUGAGUAAAAAAAGUAUAGAUACCCCAACCAAUUUUUACCUCUCAUCGGGUCAUACCCCAAUCAGUUCUCAAUUCCCGAUUUAGAUAACAUUGAAUUUUGGAAUUUUUGUUUAUAUUUUUUUUGAAUUUUACCUUUAAAGUUAACAAUGUCAAAGAUAGAAUAACUUUUUUAGCCCUCAAUAUUUAUAGAGGUGUUCAAACAAAUAUGUUCAAAAGACGGAGAGGUGAUUACCCACUUUGCCAAACUCAAAAGUCCAAACAUAUAUUCAUGGAAAAUGAAGUUAUUAAGUUAUAUUUAUUUUUUUUGGUGGAAAAGAGAAAAUUACAAGAAAUAAAAAAGUCAACUAGCCUAACUCCCCACACGGGGGUUUUCCAAACAUUCGCAGCCCUUGCCUUCCCGAGUGAGCCAACCUGGCAAGGUUAUCGGCUUCCUGAUUCUCUUAUCUAGGUAUGUAAUAAAUAUUCCAGUGUGAAGUCUGAGACAAUAACUGAAGAAUCCUCCUAAUUAGAGCUGUAUUGGAACCUCCUGUAGAACUCUCUUGAAUGGCUAUCACCACUUCAAUACUAUUAGAAUGAAUCAUGACAUUAUACAAACCACAAUCAGUUAAUAGAUUAAGACCAUCCAAUAUGGCCCACAGUUCAGCCUCAAACACUGAGCAACUUCCUAAAAACCUAUUAUAACCAAUGAUCCACUUCUCAUUUUGAUUUCUCACAACCCCUCCUACUACUGCAGAGUCGCCCUCAAACCUAACAAAACCAUCUGUAUUUAAAGAAACCUAGCCUUCAGGCAAAUUGGAGCAGGAUUUCAUAAUCCUCCCCGUAUUCAACUGACUUUGAUUGAUCUUCAAAUCAUGCUUGGCCCAACUAUAUAAGGCUCUGAUAAUAUCAAAACUGCUCUAUGGUACACCCUAAAAAUAACAAGGUUACGAUUCUUCUAGAUACGCCAGAUGAUAAUCCCAAACAGACAUUCCCAGCUAACCUCCACGAAGCAAAUAUCAUACUGAUUAAGCAAUUUGGAAGCAAUCCAUUCCUGGGUGUUACUAAAAUAGAACCUGAUAAGGCGAUUAGUAGGGAUUAGAAUAUUCCAAAUAUCUUCCGCUGUCGGACAAUCUCUUAAAACAUGUAACACAUCUUCGGAGAUAUGGCUACAAACUCUACAAACCAAACUCUACCCGAAACCCCGACGAACUCUUUCUUCACUAGUGAGAAGUCUCUGCUUAAGAAUUAGCCAAAUAAAAAACUGUACUUUUUAUAGACCUUUGAAAUUCCAAUGGAUCUUCCAAGUAUCUUCCUUCGAUUUCCACGAACUCGCCUUAAUUCUUCCAUAGGCGUUUUUAAUAGAAAAAGAACCCGUCGUUGAGCCUCCCCAAAUUAUCUUGUCUACGCUUGCCUCUGGAUGAGGUGGGGGUAUUCCAAUAAUCUUUUGUACGAAUGUCCUAGGUACCCAAAGUUGAAAUAAUUCAAGGUUCCAAUUACCAUCCACUGAAACCAUAUCACUAAGCAAAUAAUCCAAAUCAAGACUAGAGUGAUCGGGAAUCAAAUUAACAAGAGGCUCUACAUUAGGAAUCCAUGGAUCUCGCCAACACUUAACUUUUCACCCAUCCCCCACUGACCAAAACAAAUUCUCCCGUAUGAGAGGCCAAACCUUAGUAAGGGAUCUCCACAAGGAGGAACUUCUACUACAGGAUAAAUUUUAUGGUAUUUCAUCAAUUACCCCAUACUUUGCUUGUAAAACAUGUACCCAGAGAGCUUUAGAAUUAGUCAAAAUUUUAAAACCCAACUUCAUCAUGAAGGAAGUGUUGUGAUAUUGCAGCUUUCAAAAGCCAAGACCACCAUGCUUUUGAGGUUGAUAGACAUCCUCCCAUCCUACCAAAUCCAAUUUCUUACCAUUCUUUGAAGAUCCCCAAACAAAUUGACACACCAUACUUUCAAUUUCCUCGCAAAGUCCCUUGGGAAUCAGCAUAAACUGCAUAAAGUAACUAGGAAUUGCCAUAAGAAUGGAUUGAGCUAGGGUAGUCCUACCAGCAAGAGACAAAUAUCUCGAAUCCCACCCCUGUAGCUUACUUUAAACCUUGUCCACCAC
RNAcentral lists this long non-coding RNA (34012 nucleotides) under Gossypium barbadense (sea-island cotton). Its description in RNAcentral is "long non-coding RNA (GBAR_LNC021690)". The record is from RNAcentral. Lineage: Eukaryota; Viridiplantae; Streptophyta; Magnoliopsida; Malvales; Malvaceae.